Molecule: long non-coding RNA, 2633 nt
Filed under: Homo sapiens (human)
Lineage: Eukaryota; Metazoa; Chordata; Mammalia; Primates; Hominidae
Description: non-protein coding lnc-FBXW4-1:2
Source: RNAcentral
CGCCCAGACUGGAGUGCAGUGGCGCAAUCUCGGCUCACUGCAAGCUCUGUCUUCCGGGUUCAUGCCAUUCUCCUGCCUCAGCCUCCUGAGUAGCUGGGACUACAGGCGCCCGCCAUUACGCCCGGCUAAUUUUAUUUUAUUUUAUUUUUAGUAGAGACAGGGUUUCACUGUGUUAGCCAGGAUGGUCUGUGUCUCCUGACCUCGUGAUCCACCCGCCUCGGCCUCCCAAAGUGCUGGGAUUACAAAAUGCGUGAGCCACCACGCCCGGCUGAUGGUUUUAUUAAUAUAAGGGACUUUAACCCUUUGCUCAGGACUUCUACUUGCUGCUGCCAUGUGAAGAAGGACAUAUUUGCUUCCCCUUUCACCAUGAUUGUAAGUUUCCUGAGGCCUCCCCAGCCCUGCAGAACUGUACACACAUAUACAUAUCCUUAAAGAAUUACAAUAUUGUUUUGUGUUAAAUAUUUUUGUAUAUAUUGCUCUGAAUGUAUUUUGCUUAUGUCGCUCAACUUGAUGUUUUUGCCACCUAUCCACAUAUAUGUUUUGUUCCUCUUUUGGACUUAAUGUUUUAAAGGAAGAAACCAAGGAGGAAGAGGUUUAUUCACACAAGAACAGCUAUCUGUACCUAUGUUUCCGCCUGUCUCUGAUUGGAGACUGAAGUCAGGAGGACUUCUUGGAAGAAGCAAGGAACUGAAUUUGGUUUUUGAAAGAGACUGAGAAAAUGCUGAGUGUGAAUGUUGUGGGGGCAUUUCAGAGAUACCCCUUACAAUAAUUCCAUAGACUAGGAAUUGUGAGAUUUGUUGUAUGAUCUUUCUUUCAUUAUUUAGUUAUAGAUUCUAUGGCUUUUUAAAUAUUUAGGUUAGACAAAUGUUUUGACUGUGGAAGAUACAUUUAAAAAGGGAUGCUAAACAAAUCAAGAUUUACUAAAACUGAACAACAGAAAUCCUGUAAAACACUAUCAUUUAAGCCCAACAGGUGGACACACAAACCAAUUACAAAUCAAAGAGGCUUUGAUCCAUGGAGUCUUUGGUGUAUGCCGAAUAAAAUACAUUCAAAAUGUAUUUGUAGUGUGAGAUAAAGAUAUAAAGGUCACUUUGUAAGUGCUGCCUAUGUUAGUAGUUUUAAUUUUACCUUGUCAGUGCCUCUGUGUACAAAACUGAAGAAAGCAAGACUUUGAUUUGUUCAGGUUUCCUUAAGGAGGGACACAGAAUCCUUGAAGCAUGAUUUGAAAAAGAUGGAUAAGAUAUUCUACCCAAAAUUCAACAUCACCUUUAAUCUUGCCCUCUCCUCCUCUAAUCCCUAGGUAAUGUUUUGUGCUUCUUUUGCAGAAAAGCAAUUUUGUUAAUCACUUUAGCACCAAUUCUUGCAUCCCUGGCAAUACUCAGAACUGCUUCCAUCCAAGUCUUUGAUGUGGGAAAGAAACACACACACACUCUUUCGCAUGUAAUCUGAAAACAAUUCACCUCUUGCCAAUGAAUGCACAGCACUCCACUUUAAUAGAGAGCAAGUUCUGUGGAGGUUUCUAAUCCUUUCUGCCAAAGAAGAGAAGAGAGAGAAUCACUCAGUGUGAGUCACCGAGCCCGGCCAGAGAUGGAGAUCUUGAGAGAUUAUAAAGGUGCUGGGUUGUGCCACAUAUCUGCUGAGCUUGGUGCAGUGUAGGGAAUGCAUGAGCACCUGGUCAAAAAUUCCUCUCUACUCAUUAGUUGCUGCAUAGCAUUUACAGACCCACACCCUUGCCAAGAGAUAAUUUGAGCUCUUAGCUCUGUCUUGCCAGGGCUGAUAUCGAUGUAAUUAUUGUUUGAUUCUACUAUAAGACUGAAUUCAGUUUCAGCUUUUUAAUUUGUCCAUUUCACUUCUCAUUUAUCAGCUUCUAUUGCAGAUGUGAAGUUUAGCAUUUCUUUGCUCACUCUUUUACUGGGAAACUCUUCUAGCGGAAAGCCUGUCAUCUGUUGUGAAGGAGAGCUGGUGUUGACUUGAAGCAACAGAGUUGGUGGUCCAGUGGCCAUUGUCCUGUGUUAGGAGCAGGUGGUCUCGCUAAGCUCCAUGUGUUUGGAAAUUUCUCUGACCAGUGCUUGUUCUGCUAAAGGAAGAAGAGCUCAAGCUGCACUCCUUGUUUCCAGGAUCCCAUCCAGAAUACAUUACCUUUAGUCAUCAUGUCUCCUGUGGCUCUUCUUGGCUGUGACAGUUUCUCAGCUUUCCCAGUUUUAAUGAACUUGCCAUUUUCAUCAGAUUGUACCAAGACCUACUAUCAAUAUGACUUAUGACUAGUGGUGCUGACCUUGAUCACCUGGCUGAGGUAGUUCUUGUCAGGCUUCUCCACUGUCGAGUUGCUCUCCCCAUCCCCCUUUUCCAUAUUGUACUCUUUGAAAGAAAGUCACUAUAUGCAGCCCUUCCUUAAAAAUAUUAAAAUGAACUAGCUUAAUUAAGUUCUUUCUUACAUUUAGGUGUAAAUACCUCUGAGGUUUUUUUCUUUUAAAAAAUGAUUAUCUAUGUAAUACAUACUCACUGCACAAGACUUUAAAAAUGCAAGAAAAGUAUAAAGCAGCAGCAAAUAGAACUACCCAUAAUUCCAUCUGUCACAAGCAACCAUUUCUAGCUUUUUGUCAUAUUUCCUUCCAGUUUUUUUUCUUCUGCAU